This 418-nucleotide long non-coding RNA is filed under the name Malus domestica (apple). Its description in RNAcentral is "long non-coding RNA (MDOM_LNC021206)". The record is from RNAcentral. Lineage: Eukaryota; Viridiplantae; Streptophyta; Magnoliopsida; Rosales; Rosaceae.
UUAAUUUAAGCGGACCUAAUUAACUUGGGGCGUUGAGAAUUCAUGGUUUAUUGAGAAGCAAUUGGAAAUCGUUUUGUAUGCAAGUGUGACAUGUGUGGAGAAGAACCCCUUAGCUAGCUUCCCAUCCAUCCAUUUAAACCAAAUUCAUUUUAAAAUCUGUUCAAGUUACAAAGUUUCUGUUUUGUUUUUAAAUUCGUCUAAAAUCAAUCCCCCUUUAUUUUGAAGUGUCAUAUUAGUUAGAAAUCAAUUUAAGUUGUGUUUUUAAGAGUCUUGAGUCAAGUUAUACCUUAAUUUCGUCCAAAUUAGUUUAGGUGCUCAAAACUGCCCAGAUUGUGAUUUUAAGACAGUUUUGAGUGUUUCUGGGCUGUUUUGAGUCUUUUGGUUUGUUUUGGUGUUUUAAAGUUUAGUUUUGCAUUCU